CCCAGGAAUCCUCAGAAUGUGAGGUUUCUCUCAAAGGCAUCUUGCAUCAGCCUGUGGAUGUAUGCCUGCCGCCGGCUCCCUCCACCGGCAAAGUGGAAAAAGAAGCGUUUAACAACAAAUUCUUCGUUUGGGGUUGGGGAACGCAGUGGAUUAUAGCUCUGUUUUCUUCUUUCCAAAACUGUGCACUCCUGGAUGAGAGGAGAUCUACAAGUGGUCUGGUGUUCAAUGCUCUAAAAAGUUCCAGGGUUUGUGACUUGAGGCAAAGAAGGUGGAAUAAUUGAAGAGAAGCAGAGGCCAGCUGUUCUGGAAUAUCACACUCCACAGAUAAUGUUCUUCACUCCUUGAUGUAAGUAGGGAGAGUUGCUAAAGCUCUGUUACCACAUUAGACUGGGGGAGU
Molecule: long non-coding RNA, 397 nt
Filed under: Dasypus novemcinctus (nine-banded armadillo)
Lineage: Eukaryota; Metazoa; Chordata; Mammalia; Cingulata; Dasypodidae
Description: lncRNA (ENSDNOG00000052882.1)
Source: RNAcentral